GCAGAGUAUACCGCAGACAUCAUUUCUACUACAGUGGCGGAGCCGUACAGGACCUGUUUCACUGCAGGGGGAUCCAAAACAAGCCCUGUGGAGCCGCAGCUAGAGCCACAGCAGCCGCAGGACACUGUUUCUCUCCCUCUGUCCCCCUUCCCCACGCAACCCCAGAUCCAUUUACACUUUACAAAGCAUCCUGCAUCCUGCAACAGGUCACCAGGGCAGUCUCUCCAAGCUGCAGAUCUGUCUGUCAUCUGUGUCCAACCGCCUCUUCCUCCAUCCCCUCGGCAGGGAAGAGUAUCACAUUCAGUCCAGCCGUUACUCGCUGUUACCUCCACAGGAAGGCUCCACUUGAAGGUCCCUUUGACUUCUCUGCAAGACAUCCGAAUGUCUGUACACUCUGAGAAUGAGGGUAAGAAGGGGGAAAGAGAUGGAGGGCGCCAUUUUUAACCCUGCUGCAGCUGAUAACAACCUCUUGAGACCGGGUACUUUGUGGAAGGGCUGGGUGUUGAGAGAGGUCGUUACUGUCCUGCAGAAGUCUCUGCCCCAGGGUUUCUCGGGACUGUGAGACGUUGGGAUUGAUGAGAG
RNAcentral lists this long non-coding RNA (582 nucleotides) under Meriones unguiculatus (Mongolian gerbil). Its description in RNAcentral is "lncRNA (ENSMUGG00000016791.1)". Lineage: Eukaryota; Metazoa; Chordata; Mammalia; Rodentia; Muridae. The record is from RNAcentral.